GGCGCCCUCAUUGUCACUUCUCUCAGACAUACCCAUGUUAAAAAUCUGAUCCCCAUCGGCACAUUCUGAUAUAACCACAUCAUUUAACCUGGAAUCGGAUAACUCAAUUUCUUGUGAUUCAGUAUCGGCAGAUUUAUCAGAAAUCGAAUCAGGUGCUUCUACAUUAUGGCCAAUCUUUAACUUGUGUUGUUUGUCUGUCAACAGUUUAGAUGGAACACAGUUGGCAGUGGAUGAAUCACUUCUCAUAGCUAUAAUAGGAUCUCCUAAUUGAGGGUUCCCUCUACCAUCAUGGAAUUCUGAGUGCUUUGAACAAAAGGCCCUUAACUCAACAUUCUCAGAUCCAUAUUUUCCCCAAACCUCCAUUCUUUGUCUCGCCUCCCUUGCACAUAUAGGAUGAAAUGCAGUUCUACACGUUCCAUGACUGCAACGAACACAAGCACCACACCCAACCUGGUGUACCACCGAGAAAAAGAAAACCGUAAUUGGACAACAAGGGAGCAACACACAUACCAUGACUGCAACGAACACAAGCACCACACUUCACCUUGCAUACAUUGCACACUAAUUUCCUCCGUGUUUCCUUUAUUUCUUGUACAUUCAUAAUAGGUUCCAUCUUCAAUAAGUCCUCUACAUAUACCUCAGGCAUCCACAGAGAACAAAACAAGUGUGCAAACUCAACAAUAGACCCACUACUUUCCACACCAACAGGUUUCAAAGCACCACACUGUUUUGGGCAAAGCACACAAGGCUGCUUCACUGAAUCCUCAUCAACAGUCUUGUGCUUACACCAAGAACAUAGCCAAGACUCAUCUACAUCCCCUUGUAUGCCAUAACAGUUGAGAUGAACGGAGACCUUACAAGAAGAGCAAACAAUCAAUCGGUUUGAUUCAUUACCCAUCUCACCCUUGCAGCAAAAAUCACACGAUGAUAAGUUCCCUUCACAAGGAGAAACAAUCAAAAUUUUCUCUAACCCAGCAUCCGUACCUAAAAGCUUCCGCUUCUUGGAUGGCCGCUCCGAGGUCAACAUAAUCCUACUCCUACAACUUAAAAGCCACUCUAAGCCGCUGGAGAUAUCUGAAAUGGAGCAAGCUUUUCCUUCCUCCUGAGACAAACACUCGACUCUGUCACUUUGAGCUCCUACACUGUCAAUUUCCAUGAACUGCUCGUCCUCUUGCUUCACCUCGUCUUUUACCAAAACCUCAUUUAAAUGUGAACUUUCGUUCGCAUAAUUCACAGUCACAUUGUUAUCCACGACCUCAUUUGCAUGUGCACUUCCAUUCCCACAAUUCACAAUCACAUUCUUAUCCAAGUUCUCUGUAUCAACCACUGGCACAUGUUUCUCAUUUCCAAUGUACGGAAUCAAAAAACACUUACUAGCAGCUAAAGACCUAAUUGAAGAAGAUAUGUCGAACAAAGCAUCAAUAUCCAGCAGUGCCAAGUCCCUAAAGUACUCCUCAGUUUCAACCCAAAUAUUCCCUCCCUUGGACCGCUCACUUGCCCGCGAAGACUUUUUAUCUGCUCUAGAAUGUGACUUCUUAUGCCUCUUCCUAGUAUCAGAAUGCUUCAGCAAACUGGCCAAUCCACAAGGCAAAGUAGAAAAGCUUGAACUACCAACCGAAAUGUUGGACCCCGACCCGUCCUCAGGGACAUCGAAUGGGGAGCGUUCGCUUAGAACUUUACGAGCCUGCGAGAAGAAAUCAACGUCACAUGAAGAAGGCUUCUUUUUUGUUGUUGGAGAUACUUGUUGGGUCGCCAGAACCCUAGAAAUCAGGCGGCAAGGCCUCUCUUCAGUGCCGCAACCUCCGUCAGGACCCCUACCCAUCAUCUUCUUCCGCCGGGUGCAUCGGCCACCGGUCAUCUCAGAGACCAGCCACCGGCACCACUUAAAGCACCGCCACCACCUUCGUAUUCCAUAACCCAAACCCUAACCCUAAUUAAUCCCUCGGCGGAGCAAAACCCUAAUUUUCCAAACGUAAACCUAACGCAAACCCUAAUCUAACUCUUCAGUGGCGUUUCAGCGUUCGCGUGCACGAAGAUGGAAGGAAAGAAAGAGGAUAAAAAAUCACGGCUAGGGUUAGGGUUUCAGUUAUUCAGGUUCGUGCUGUUGGGGAUUCGUUUUCACGAUUUUCUUUUUUUUUUUUUUUUGUGCAGUU
RNAcentral lists this unclassified non-coding RNA (2153 nucleotides) under Hevea brasiliensis (rubber tree). The record is from RNAcentral. Lineage: Eukaryota; Viridiplantae; Streptophyta; Magnoliopsida; Malpighiales; Euphorbiaceae.